Syzygium oleosum is the source of this 687-nucleotide long non-coding RNA. RefSeq lists it as uncharacterized. NCBI's taxonomy places the organism in Eukaryota, Viridiplantae, Streptophyta, Magnoliopsida, Myrtales, Myrtaceae. The transcript is spliced from 3 exons. The record is from RefSeq and is a predicted model, not a curated record.
CGUGAUCUUUCUUCUUUCUUCUUUCUUCCUAUUUUUAAUGAAAAGGUGUUCGAAAAGGCGGCGAGUGGUGCUUUGUAUGAACCGAAGAGACCUAUAAUACCUCCCCCGGUACAAAUUCCUCAUGCCGACCACUGAUCCACUGUAAGAUGCCUUGUCUAGUUUCGCUUGAAAAUUUGGUCCAAUUGGGUCGGGGACAAGUGUGUAUAUAUACCCCGCAUCGUGAGAGAUAAACAGCACAUCCUCAUUGUUCUCACGGAAAAGAUUUGAAUCCAUAUCCCUUGAAAAUCACUGCUCAAGAGAACUCCAUCAGACCAGUUCCUUCUGUCUUUUGAUUCCAAGAUGGCCACGCCACAAACCCAGCAGAAUCUUCCUCCUCCUGGCUACCCAACUGAGAACCCACCACCCACCGCGGGAGGCAAGAAGAAGUGGUUUGUUAGUUCAAAGAAGAGGGGAGAGAGGGGAUUCAUUGAAGGAUGCCUGUUUGCUCUUUGCUGUUGCUGGAUCUGUGAAGAAUGUUGCUGCUAAACGAUGGGUUUGCAUAGAGUAAUUGACGUAUUAGUAUGAUAUGUAUUUGAGCGUCCUGUUGUACUAAAUGUGUGUGGUCAUACGGUGUAAUAAUUUGCGACAGCCUGUGGUGUACCCAGUUCAUUUCCAUAUUCUUUUGUCCUAAUGGAUUUAUUUCUCUUA